Musa acuminata AAA Group (dessert banana) is the source of this 2914-nucleotide RNA transcript. It is a transcript of the gene named casein kinase 1-like protein HD16, with no coding region annotated. The transcript is spliced from 17 exons. The record is from RefSeq and is a predicted model, not a curated record. Lineage: Eukaryota; Viridiplantae; Streptophyta; Magnoliopsida; Zingiberales; Musaceae.
ACGAUUCGACGCGUCGGGUCUUCAUUCCCAAUCCAUCUCUCUCUAUCUCUCGCUCUGUCUCUCCAUCUCUCGAAGGCGCUCCGUCGAGGCAACUGUUCUACCUCGUCGUCGAUCGAAUCAUCCUCCAUCCGUUCUUCGAUUUUUCUCUCCCUCGAUCGCUUCGAUCCUCUCGAGGUUCUGAAGAUUGAAGAAGAUCUCUGCGGAUUGCGGUUGACCCGGGGAUCUCCUUUUUGGGCAUCUUUUAGGGUUUCAAGGUCGGAAUGGGUGGGAAGUCCGGGUGAGUUUGAGGAGAUAAUGGUCGAAUUGGGACCGCGCAGGCGCGAUUGCAUGGGUGAAGAAUGCCAGAGCUGCAGAGUGGGGUGCGUCGAGGGGGCCAUGCUCCGCCGCCACCGACGGAAGCGGUAGAUCGCCCCCUGCGGAAUACGAGGGCACGGGCCGCUGCCAAGAAACCGGCGCCUGCUGAGGUUGCCGUCGUGGUUGGCCGUCGGGGGAGGACCAGGGCUGCGCCUUCGCGGCCGGUGGCCAAGGGGAGGCAGCGUGUGAGACUGGCCAAGGAGAGACGGGAUUUGGUCGAGGAGGGGGAGGGGAAGGGAUCGGAUCAGUUGAAGGAGGUGAUCGUGGUGGUGGAAGAGGAAGAAAAGAAAGGAAAGGAACGUGCAAAUCUAGCGGAGGAAAUAAGAGGGAAGGAAGUAAUGGGUGACGACAGCGGUGGAUUGAGCGCCAACAAAGUUGCGGUACAGGAAGAGGAGGGGAACACUACACCGUUCCCCAAAAAGGUUCAGGUUGGUGGUUCUCCCGUAUAUAAGGUUGAAAGGAAGCUGGGCAAGGGUGGGUUUGGCCAGGUAUUUGUUGGUCGACGAGUCACUGGUGGCAUUGAUCGAACAAUGGGUCCUGGUGCAUUGGAGGUUGCCAUCAAAUUUGAGCACAGGAACAGCAAAGGCUGUAAUUAUGGCCCUCCUUAUGAAUGGCAAGUUUAUAGUGCUCUCGGUGGUAGUUAUGGAGUGCCAAGGGUACAUUAUAAAGGUCGGCAAGGUGACUACUAUGUGAUGGUAAUGGACAUGCUAGGUCCCAGCCUUUGGGAUGCUUGGAAUUCUUCAGGUCAAACGAUGUCAUCAGAAAUGGUUGCUUGCAUUGCUGUUGAGUCCAUAUCAAUCCUUGAGAAGAUGCAUUCAAAAGGAUAUGUCCAUGGAGAUGUAAAGCCUGAAAAUUUCCUUCUUGGUCAGCCUGCAACACCUCAAGAGAAGAAACUAUAUCUUGUUGAUCUUGGAUUAGCCACAAGAUGGAAAGAUGCUAGCAAUGGUCAUCAUGUUGAGUAUGACCAACGCCCAGAUGUGUUCAGAGGAACUGUUCGAUAUGCCAGUGUUCAUGCACAUCUAGGAAGAACUGCAAGCCGGCGAGACGAUCUGGAGUCUCUUGCAUAUACACUAAUUUUUCUUCAUCGAGGCAGAUUACCAUGGCAAGGAUACCAGGGUGAUAAUAAAUCUUUCUUAGUUUGUAAGAAAAAGAUGGCAACAUCUGCUGAGAUGCUAUGUUGUUUCUGUCCUCCACCAUUUAAGCAAUUUCUUGAGCUUGUGGUUAACAUGAAGUUCGAUGAGGAACCAAACUACUCUAAGCUUAUUUCUCUCUUUGAUGGAUUGAUUGGAACAAAUCCAGCAUCUAGGCCAAUCAACACUGAUGGUGCUCAAAAGGUUGGUCAAAAACGUGGUAGAUUGACUAUUGAUGAUGAUGAACAAAGCCAACAAAGGAAGAAGAUCCGUUUAGGAGUACCUGCGACCCAGUGGAUUUCUGUAUAUAAUGCUAGGCUUCCGAUGAAACAAAGGUACCACUACAAUGUCGCUGAUGCACGUCUGGCACAACAUAUAGACAAGGGAAAUGAGGAUGGUUUACUUAUUAGUUGUGUUGCAUCGAGCUCCAAUUUGUGGGCCCUUAUUAUGGAUGCAGGAACUGGUUUCACAUCUCAGAUCUAUGAGUUGUCACCAUUCUUUCUCCACAAGGAAUGGGUUAUGGAUCAAUGGGAGAAGAACUACUAUAUAACUUCUCUUGCUGGUUCCAACAAUGGAAGUUCUCUUGUAGUUAUGUCGAAAGGCACCCAAUACACACAGCAGUCUUACAAAGUAAGCGAAUCUUUCCCCUUCAAAUGGAUAAACAAGAAGUGGAAAGAAGGAUUUCAUGUCACAUCGAUGGCAACAGCUGGGAGCCGAUGGGGCAUUGUCAUGUCACGCAAUGCUGGUUUUAGUGAUCAGGUUGUUGAAUUAGACUUCCUGUAUCCAAGUGAGGGCAUCCACAGACGUUGGGACAAUGGAUAUCGCAUUACUUGUAUGGGUGCCACUUGGGAUCAGGCUGCUCUUAUCCUUAGUGUGCCCAAGCGGAAGCCUUGUGAUGAGACUCAGGAAACCCUUAGAACAUCAGCAUUUCCAAGUGCCCAUGUUAAGGAUAAAUGGGCAAAGAAUCUGUACCUUGCUUCGAUCUGCUAUGGACGUACCGUAUCAUGAUAUACUUAUUUCAGCCAACCUACAUCCUAGACAUCUUUCAUACUUCGUGGAACAUGUUAAUAUAGCUUAGACAUCGAUUGAGUGAUGAUCGCGACAUAGUGAGCCUGGUGUAGGCUAUGUUACUGCUGUGAUGAAUCAAGAAGCAGCAGCCUUCCUGUGGUAUCAUAGCAAGUGGAUAGUCGAGGAUGGCCACAGAAGCAUGAGAAUUAGGAUUCUGGUCUCUGGCGUUCUACAGGCUGUCUAAUAUGAUGAUUAAUUAUUGUCUCAUGAGCUUGACAUAAUGAAUUUAUGCAAUAAUGCAGAUAGAGGAAGGAAUGACAUUUCAAACUAUUCUCUUGUAUGUUACGAAACUGUUGUCAACCAUAUGAUAUGUACGUCUGCUGGUUGAUCUAAUUUCAAAAUAUUUCCUGGUUUUGAUCAAA